CCUGACGCAGCGACGCCGCGUGGAGGAUGAAGGUCUUCGGAUUGUAAACUCCUGUUGCUCGGGACGAAAAGCCUCGACCUAACACGUCGAGGUCUGACGGUACCGAGUGAGGAAGCCCCGGCUAACUCUGUGCCAGCAGCCGCGGUAAUACAGAGGGGGCAAGCGUUGUUCGGAAUUACUGGGCGUAAAGGGCGCGUAGGCGGCCCGCUAAGUCGAACGUGAAAUCCCCGAGCUCAACUCGGGAACUGCGUCCGAUACUGGUGGGCUUGAAUCCGGGAGAGGGAUGCGGAAUUCCAGGUGUAGCGGUGAAAUGCGUAGAUAUCUGGAGGAACACCGGUGGCGAAGGCGGCAUCCUGGACCGGCAUUGACGCUGAGGCGCGAAAGCUAGGGGAGCAAACGGGAUUAGAUACCCCGGUAGUCCUAGCCCUAAACGAUGAAUGCUUGGUGUGGCGGGUAUCGAUCCCUGCCGUGCCGAAGCUAACGCAUUAAGCAUUCCGCCUGGGGAGUACGGUCGCAAGGCUGAAACUCAAAUGAAUUGACGG
RNAcentral lists this ribosomal RNA (542 nucleotides) under uncultured bacterium. Its description in RNAcentral is "bacterial SSU rRNA". It matches the Rfam family "Bacterial small subunit ribosomal RNA", at positions 382 to 916 of the family's 1533-position model. The record is from RNAcentral.